UAGAGUUUGAUCCUGGCUCAGAUUGAACGCUGGCGGCAGGCCUAACACAUGCAAGUCGAGCGGUAACAGAUUGAUAGCUUGCUAUCAAUGCUGACGAGCGGCGGACGGGUGAGUAAUGCCUGGGAAUAUGCCCUGAUGUGGGGGAUAACUAUUGGAAACGAUAGCUAAUACCGCAUAAUCUCUUCGGAGCAAAGAGGGGGACCUUCGGGCCUCUCGCGUCAGGAUUAGCCCAGGUGGGAUUAGCUUGUUGGUGGGGUAAUGGCUCACCAAGGCAACGAUCCCUAGCUGGUCUGAGAGGAUGAUCAGCCACACUGGAACUGAGACACGGUCCAGACUCCUACGGGAGGCAGCAGUGGGGAAUAUUGCACAAUGGGGGAAACCCUGAUGCAGCCAUGCCGCGUGUAUGAAGAAGGCCUUCGGGUUGUAAAGUACUUUCAGUUGUGAGGAAGGCGUUGAUGUUAAUAGCUUCAGCGUUUGACGUUAGCAACAGAAGAAGCACCGGCUAACUCCGUGCCAGCAGCCGCGGUAAUACGGAGGGUGCGAGCGUUAAUCGGAAUUACUGGGCGUAAAGCGCAUG
This 577-nucleotide ribosomal RNA is filed under the name bacterium 4878K2-B5. RNAcentral describes it as "bacterial SSU rRNA". It matches the Rfam family "Bacterial small subunit ribosomal RNA", at positions 1 to 571 of the family's 1533-position model. The record is from RNAcentral.